Molecule: small nuclear RNA, 103 nt
Organism: Hyaena hyaena (striped hyena)
Lineage: Eukaryota; Metazoa; Chordata; Mammalia; Carnivora; Hyaenidae
Source: RefSeq, a predicted model, not a curated record
UUGCUUUGGUAGCACAGAUACUAAAAUCGGAAUGAUACACGGAAGAUUAGUAUAACCCCAACACAAGGACGGCACACAAAUUCGUGAAGCACGUUUGAUCAUG